GAUGAACGCUGGCGGCGUGCUUAACACAUGCCAGUCGAACGGAAAGGCCCAAGCUUGCUUGGGUGCUCGAGUGGCGAACGGGUGAGUAACACGUGGGUGAUCUGCCCUGCACUUCGGGAUAAGCCUUGGAAACUGGGUCUAAUACCGGAUAGGACCACUUCUUGGAUGUUGUGGUGGAGAGAUUUUUCGGUGUGGGAUGAGCUCGCGGCCUAUCAGCUUGUUGGUGGGGGAAUGGCCUACCAAGGCGUCGACGGGUAGCCGGCCUGAGAGGGUGUACGGCCACAUUGGGGCUGAGGAACGGCCCAGACUCCCACGGGAGGCAAGAGUGGGGAAUAUUGGACAAGGGGGGCAAGCCUGAUGCAGCGACGCCGGGGGGGGGAAGACGGGCUUCGGGUUGUAAACUCCUUUCGCUAUGGACGAAGCGUUUUGUGACGGUACCUGGAGAAGAAGCACCGGCUAACUACGUG
This 467-nucleotide ribosomal RNA is filed under the name uncultured bacterium. RNAcentral's name for it is "partial 16S ribosomal RNA". It matches the Rfam family "Bacterial small subunit ribosomal RNA", at positions 28 to 507 of the family's 1533-position model. The record is from RNAcentral.